GGGGGUCCUGGAACCAAUCCCUCAUGGAUGCAUGAGGGAUGAUUGUAUAUCAUACACACACACACAGUUUACUGGCUUCUGCAAACAAAUUUUGAGCCUAUUACCAACGAGCCUGGUCAACAAAUCUACAUCUAAAGUAAGAUAUAUACUUGCUAAAAUUGUUUUUAACUAAAAAUGCCAUAUGUAGUAUAAAAAUGAAAACUAGACACUAUUUCAUUCACAUCCAUUGAGAUAAUAGUGGUGAGCACUUAGGAUAAGCACCAGGCUUGACUUGCUGCUCUUGUCACUUGUCCUUGGAAAUUCAGGCUCUAUUACACCACCAACUCUCAAAACAUUUCCCUGUUGUAGAGCUAAACUUGACGUCCUACAGAAUUUCUCUAACUUAACAUGUUGAGUCUCUGAGACUGCAAAACUUGAAACAAGAGAAAGUGGCCUGCCUGGCAUCCUCUGCUUAUUGAAUGGUUUUAUUUAAUUCUCCUUUACAUUGCCACCUUAACAAUCCUUCCAGCUACGUAUCUUAAAGGAUGUGAUGGAGAAGUUAUCAACUGGUGUUUUCAGACCUCAGUUGGAUGAACCCAUUCCACUGUAUGAGGCAAAAGUUUCCAUGGAAGCUGUUCAGAAAAAUCAAGGAAGAAAAAAGCAAGUUGUUCAAUUUUAAUUUUCUUCUUUCUCAGACCUCAUUCGGAUGAACAUAUUCCAGUAUUUGAAGCCAGAAUUUUCUUUGGAAAUUGUUGAGAAAAACCAAGGAAGAUAAAACAAGUUGCAUUUUUAAGCACGUUUCCCUGCUAAGACAAGAUGCUCAGUUGACACAUUUGAAAAGUGUUUGAAAAAUUCUUGUGCAAAUGAUCAAGAUAAUUCUAUAAUUAACAUCUUAAGGGAAUUUUCUAAAAACCUUUUCAUUGUUUCUAUAUAUUUUGCCCCUGCUAUAAAAUUCCUUCCAUGAAGAAAACUGCCGCUUUCAGCAAAAGCCACACUACUCUUGAUAAAGCUGUUGCAGGCCUUUGCUAAGCUAUCAAA
Molecule: small RNA, 1017 nt
Filed under: Pongo abelii (Sumatran orangutan)
Lineage: Eukaryota; Metazoa; Chordata; Mammalia; Primates; Hominidae
Description: retained intron
Source: RNAcentral